RNAcentral lists this ribosomal RNA (1038 nucleotides) under Grammatorcynicola brayi. Its description in RNAcentral is "eukaryotic LSU rRNA". It matches the Rfam family "Eukaryotic large subunit ribosomal RNA", at positions 151 to 815 of the family's 3401-position model. The record is from RNAcentral. Lineage: Eukaryota; Metazoa; Platyhelminthes; Trematoda; Strigeidida; Bucephalidae.
CCGCUCCACCCUAAGUCCAACACUGAGUACGGUUGUAUGGACAUGGCCCAGAGAGGGUGAAAGGCCCGUGGGGGUGGAGUCCAGUUAAGAAGGCAUCGCUAAGAGUAGACCUUGGAGUCGGGUUGUUUGUGAAUGCAGCCCAAAGUGGGUGGUAAACUCCAUCCAAGGCUAAAUACUGGCGCGAGUCCGAUAGCAAACAAGUACCGUGAGGGAAAGUUGAAAAGUACUUUGAAGAGAGAGUAAACAGUGCGUGAAACCGUUCAGAGGUAAACGGGUGGAGUUGAACUGCAAGCUCUGAGGAUUCAGCUGGUGAGCGUGGUUUGAGCUUGGGUAUACUGGUCGGCCAUUCAGGUUCGCUUAGUUGCGGGUCCCUGUUAACCGCAGGGAUGCAUGAGUACUUGUCAAGUACUGCGCGCUUGGAUUGGUUCACCGGGCCAGUUCGCCAGUGCACUUUCUCAGAGUAGUCACCACGACCGGCGUUGCUGUUGGUCUGCUGGUGUUAAACCUGUCGGGUGGGGUCCUUGUGGCUUUAUUCGGUGGGGACGGCAGGUAGCUCGUUGGCUUGUCUUUCGAGUGUUAUCAGCUGACAUCAGUGGUACUGUGCAGUACGUCGGAGACGGCGGCUUGUGGUGUAUGCAUGCGUGCCUGUUCUGCUGGCGGCGCUGGGUUUGGUUGCCAUGUUGCCUGUAAAAGCAGGCCUGGUGAUAGCUCGGUGUUGAUUGGUAGGCGGUGGCGUGUGUAACAUCUUAAUGAGGGCCAAUAGUCUGUGGUGUAGUGGUAGACCAUCCACCCGACCCGUCUUGAAACACGGACCAAGGAGAGUAACAUGUGCGCAAGUCAUUGGGCGUUACGAAACCCAAAGGCGUAGUGAAAGUAAAUGUUCGGCUUGUCUGAACUGAGGUGAGAUCCUGACGUUUCUCACGCGUGGUAUCACCAAGCAUACGAGCGUCAGGCGCAUCACCGGCCCGUCCCAUGGUGUAGACACGCUCUUCGGAGUGGUGCAUCGCCGGGGUGGAGCAUGAGCGUACAUGUUGAGAC